AGGACGAACGCUGGCGGCGUGCUUAACACAUGCAAGUCGAGCGAGACCCCUUCUUCGGGAGGGUGUUCUAGCGGCGAACGGGUGAGUAACACGUGGGCAACCUGCCCUCAGCUCUGGGAUAACUCCAAGAAAUUGGGGCUAAUACCGGAUAUGACCGCUGACCGCAUGGUCUGGUGGUGGAAAGAUUUAUCGGCUGGGGAUGGGCCCGCGGCCUAUCAGCUUGUUGGUGGGGUAGUGGCCUACCAAGGCGACGACGGGUAGCCGGCCUGAGAGGGUGACCGGCCACACUGGGACUGAGACACGGCCCAGACUCCUACGGGAGGCAGCAGUGGGGGAAUAUUGCGCAAUGGGCGGAAGCCUGACGCAGCGACGCCGCGUGGGGGAUGACGGCCUUCGGGUUGUAACCUCUUCUAGCAGGGACGAAGCGCAAGUGACAGUACCUGCAGAAGAAGCACCGGCCAACUACGUGCCAGCAGCCGCGGU
Molecule: ribosomal RNA, 483 nt
Filed under: uncultured bacterium
Lineage: Bacteria
Description: SSU rRNA
Rfam family: Bacterial small subunit ribosomal RNA
Source: RNAcentral